RNAcentral lists this ribosomal RNA (292 nucleotides) under uncultured bacterium. Its description in RNAcentral is "partial 16S ribosomal RNA". It matches the Rfam family "Bacterial small subunit ribosomal RNA", at positions 773 to 1060 of the family's 1533-position model. The record is from RNAcentral.
GUGGAUUAGAUACCCUGGUAGUCCACGCCGUAAACGAUGGGCACUAGGUGUCGCGGGUAUUGACCCCUGCGGUGCCGUAGCUAACGCAUUAAGUGCCCCGCCUGGGGAGUACGGCCGCAAGGCUAAAACUCAAAGGAAUUGACGGGGGCCCGCACAAGCGGUGGAGCAUGUGGUUUAAUUCGACGCAACGCGAAGAACCUUACCUGGGUUUGACAUCCCUAUCGUAUUUCAUGGAAACAUGGAAGUCAGUUCGGCUGGAUAGGUGACAGGUGCUGCACGGCCGUCGCCAACU